AAAAAAAAGUUUAAAGAAAAUAGUAAUGUAUUCUAUAAGCUUCUAUCUCUGGUUUUGAUAGAACUCCAUGUUUCUCUCUCACAAUUCUUUACUUUGGAUGUAAGUUCUGUUUCGGGAAGUAUUAGGAAACCUUCACAUCUCAAGUGAAGUUCUUAUAGAAUCUCAGUAUUCUGAAAAAUGUCUACGUUGUGAAACGCUCCCUGGCAAGGAGACUGUGGAGGCAAACUGAUUUCUGUACAGCGGUGUCCAUCGUUUCUUCUGAGAUGCGAAUUGUGGUCUGACUGACCUCCCAGCACUGGCUUGUUUCAGUGUUCAAGAGAGAAUGGUGAAUGGAAGUAUCCCCUGCAUUAUGCUCAACACUAAAAUUAGCUGAGAACAGUUGGAAAGAAUUAAGCUGGCGGACCCUUGCGUUUUCCAUCUGACAACAGGAAGUAUUGACUCUGUAUCUGUCUCUGUUUGGAAUUUCCAAAUCUUACAGUCUGGAACCUCUUGCAGUAUUUGAGACUGAAAUUCUUGCAGUUUAAGGUAGUCAAGGCUGUGCUAUUAAAGGUCGUAGUCUGACUUGGUGUGUCACUGUGGUAGUUGUGUCUGGGAUGUUAAUGAUGCAGUGAAAAGAGAGUAAUGAUAAUUGUAAAUGUCAGUAUUGGAUACAAGUUUAUAAUGCUACAGUGUUGCUAUUUGCUUUCACAGAAUAUGUUGAAGGUUUUUUCUGUUUUUUGUUUUGUUUUGUUUUUGUUUUUUGUGGAGGAGAUACAAAAAAGGUACUUAAUACUACAGUGGAACCUGUGAUAUGAGAGCUGUUCUGAAGCUGCAAAAGUCCUUGCUUUCUAGAAUAGCACGGAAGAGUGCAAAUCUGCUUUAGGGAGGCCUAGCCUUCCUAUACAGACAGAAAACUGUUGAGUGUGAAGCUGUGGAUACUCUCCAGAAUAAUUUGUGCGUUGCUCCUGCACGUUCCACUUGCCACUUUGGUCAGUGAGGAACUAGUGAAGUGAAAAGAAAAUGACAUGAAGUGAUUUGGAGGAAAAAAACAAAGGAGAAGAAAAGGUAAAAGGAAGACUGACAAAUACAGGAUGAAAAGUGAAUUGAAAAGGACAAGUUCAAUGAAAGAUCAGUUUGGCAAACAGAAAUAGAAAGGACAGAUGAAAUUGGCAAUAAACGAAGGGAAAGUUAUGGGAGUAAGGGUGAAGAACUUUUGUUUGUUUGUUUUAGCUAUGUUAUGAAAGCUCCUUAAAAUCUUCUGUAUUAGUCUUUCUGCCUUAAAUGAUUUAAGUGCUAGAGAACUGCUGGCUUAUAUUUAAGCUAUUUUAGUUCUGUCAUUGGAGAUGGUUCAUAGAGGGUAGUUGCUGACAAGUUUGAAUAUCAAGAAACAAAGUGACCCAUAACUGAUUAAUCCUUAUUGUUUGGUUUUAAAGGGGUAGGAUUUUCAUCUGUUUCUUUUCAGGAUGCAAGUGUGUGCGUGUGUGUGCGUGUGUGUGCGUGUGUGUGCGUGAACAGUUGUAUUUCAUUACAAUUCAGUUAUCAGAUGGGGGUAAUCAACCUGGGAAAAUAGCACUCUUAAGAGGCUGGAAUAGAUUAGGUUAGUCGGAAUAGGGGAUGCACAAAGAUAUCUGGUGCAACUGUCUGACCACGUCAUGGCUAUUGAAAAGUUAAAGGAUAUUAUUGAGGACAUUAUCCAAAUGACUCUUGAGCACUGGCAGGCUUAGGUUGUCAACCAUAGGAAACCUGGGGAAGUGUUUGACCACUCUCAUAGUGUUAA
This is a non-coding RNA of Meleagris gallopavo (turkey), 1756 nucleotides long. The record is from RefSeq and is a predicted model, not a curated record. Lineage: Eukaryota; Metazoa; Chordata; Aves; Galliformes; Phasianidae.